UUUCAUGCUUACACGCACACACAAAGCGGAGGACGGGGGACACACAACACUUUAGUAAAAUAAUGGGGAUUAUUUUACUAAAUAACUCAGUCCUGUGAGAGGCUGCAAAACCAUUCUGAUUAAACGGAAAGUAACCCUUGCUCCUCACACCGGGAAUUGCAGGCUCCAUGAAGAGAUUCCAUUUUGGAAAACCAGGAAGAGCUGGAAAUUGAUGACAAUUCUACAUUUUGAACAGUUGGAGCACAAGAUUCACAUUCACUCAAUUUCCUGCUGGCAGCAACUCAAAGCUGCACUGCAAAGAAAAAGGUAGCCUGCCCGCUCUGACCGUCUCUGGCCUCCCUCAAACCCAGACAGCUGCUGCAAGCUUUCCAUCCUCUUCAGCAGAAACACACUGUGACUCAAUUCUCUCCCUCACCUACCUUAUUGCCUUUGAACCAAGUGGGGAAAACUGAGGUACAAUUGUUCCCAAUUUGCUAAAGGACACCUAACAAAUCUCUGUCAGAGAUAGCAAUGGAACCCACUUGUGUGUCUCCACCAGAAGACUCUGAAAGACUGAGGCUUGCUCAUGUCUGAGGGGCACAAGCUGUACUGGGCCAUGCCAGGGCCGGACAUUGUGCUUUGAGGGAUACAAAGCUUCUGGGCUCUUUUGACCUUAUGGGACCGUACAGCUAUCUGACAUUACACCCAAGGGUCGAGUACCAUUUCUUCUCCCAUGAUGUAUGCAGCUUUAUUCCCCACCUCAUGGGGAGUCAUGGGUGACUUGAAAUUUUAGCUUUGUUCAACCUUUACAUUUAAUGAGACUAAAUUU
Molecule: long non-coding RNA, 808 nt
Filed under: Struthio camelus australis
Lineage: Eukaryota; Metazoa; Chordata; Aves; Struthioniformes; Struthionidae
Description: lncRNA (ENSSCUG00000002666.1)
Source: RNAcentral